RNAcentral lists this ribosomal RNA (492 nucleotides) under uncultured bacterium. Its description in RNAcentral is "partial 16S ribosomal RNA". It matches the Rfam family "Bacterial small subunit ribosomal RNA", at positions 29 to 507 of the family's 1533-position model. The record is from RNAcentral.
AGUGAACGCUGGCGGUAGGCCUAACACAUGCAAGUCGAACGGCAGCACAGUAAGAGCUUGCUCUUACGGGUGGCGAGUGGCGGACGGGUGAGGAAUACAUCGGAAUCUACUUUUUCGUGGGGGAUAACGUAGGGAAACUUACGCUAAUACCGCAUACGACCUACGGGUGAAAGCAGGGGAUCUUCGGACCUUGCGCGAUUGAAUGAGCCGAUGUCGGAUUAGCUAGUUGGCGGGGUAAAGGCCCACCAAGGCGACGAUCCGUAGUUGGACUGAGAGGAUGAUCAGCCACACUGGAACUGAGACACGGUCCAGACUCCUACGGGAGGCAGCAGUGGGGAAUAUUGGACAAUGGGCGCAAGCCUGAUCCAGCCAUACCGCGUGGGUGAAGAAGGCCUUCGGGUUGUAAAGCCCUUUUGUUGGGAAAGAAAAGCAGCAGGUUAAUACCCCGCUGUUCUGACGGUACCCAAAGAAUAAGCACCGGCUAACUUCGUG